RNAcentral lists this ribosomal RNA (253 nucleotides) under uncultured bacterium. Its description in RNAcentral is "partial 16S ribosomal RNA". It matches the Rfam family "Bacterial small subunit ribosomal RNA", at positions 524 to 776 of the family's 1533-position model. The record is from RNAcentral.
UACGAAGGGGGCUAGCGUUGUUCGGAAUCACUGGGCGUAAAGGGCGCGUAGGCGGCCGUUCAAGUCGGGGGUGAAAGCCUGUGGCUCAACCACAGAAUGGCCUUCGAUACUGGACGGCUCGAGACCGGAAGAGGUCAGUGGAACUGCGAGUGUAGAGGUGAAAUUCGUAGAUAUUCGCAAGAACACCAGUGGCGAAGGCGGCUGACUGGUCCGGUUCUGACGCUGGGGCGCGAAAGCGUGGGGAGCAAACAGG